AUGCCUGGCUAAUUUUUGUAUUUUUAGUAGAGACGAGGUUUCACCAUGUUGGCCAUCUGGUCUUGAACUCCUGAUCUCAGGUGAUCUACCUGCCUUGGCCUCCCAACGUGCUGGGAUUACAGGCCUGAGCCACCGCGCCUGGCCUAGUACAACUUCUUUAAAUCAUCACAAAGAGGACCAGGUGCGGUGGUUCAUACCUGUAAUCUCAGCACUUGGAGGCUGAUGUGGGAGAACUGCUUGAGGCCAAGAGUUCAAGAACAGGCUGGGCAACACAGUGAGACCCCAUCUGUACAAAAAAAAUAAAUAGAAUUGGCUGGGCAUGGUGGCACAUGCCUGUAGUCCCAGCUAUUCAGAAGGCUGAGGCAGGAGCACCACUUGAGCCCAAGAGGUUGAGGCUGCUGUGCUGUGAUGGCACCAUGGAACUCCAGCCUGGGCAACAGAGUGAGACCCUGUCUCAAAACAAAACAAAACAAAAACAAAAACAGUUGUGAAGGGCCUCAAGCUUUCUUUGAUUUUGGGCAGAGCUGUGACCUCUCCUUCUGUUCAACCUCCUUACAGAGUUCAAACAUCAAUUCCCCACCCAAGUGGCCUGCUUCCUUGGGUUGCAGAGAUGUUCUUUACAUCUCAGUGCCCACUAUCAACUACUUCCUCGGUCUCUCUCUUCAAUUCAGAUGUAUCAAAUAUUAAUUUCAUUUUUGCCCCCUCUUUAACACAACUUCUGGAAGCAUCUCUUGGCCCAGAGCCAUUUAGGUAAAUUGAAUAGAAAAGGGCCACCUCUGUUUGCCCUUGAGAAUGCAGAUAACAGGGAUCUGACAACCCAGGCAACAGCAGUCCCCCAUGGAAGAGCAGAGAGCUCUUCACCACCACUCCACAGGUUUCUGGAGACCCCGGAGCACUCAUCAAAUCCAGCGUUGGUGAUAAUGACAUUUCAGUCAACCACGGACUGCGCAUAUCAGUGGGUGCAUACGAUUAUAAUGGAGCUGAAAAAUUCCUAUCACCUAGUAUUUACAUUGUAUUUUAUUUUUCUGAGGCAGGGUCUCACUCUGUCACCCAGGCUGGAGUGCAGUGGCACAAUUAUGGCUCACUGCAUCCUCAAACUCCCGGCCUCCCAAGUAGCUG
Molecule: long non-coding RNA, 1119 nt
Filed under: Homo sapiens (human)
Lineage: Eukaryota; Metazoa; Chordata; Mammalia; Primates; Hominidae
Description: HSALNT0219078
Source: RNAcentral